This 25-nucleotide small RNA is filed under the name Bombyx mori (domestic silkworm). Its description in RNAcentral is "ovarian small RNA-11950". The record is from RNAcentral. Lineage: Eukaryota; Metazoa; Arthropoda; Insecta; Lepidoptera; Bombycidae.
AGAUCAGGAAAUAGAGUUGGUGACA